CCGAAGGUGAACCUGCGGAAGGAUCAUU
This 28-nucleotide ribosomal RNA is filed under the name fungal endophyte MUT 788. RNAcentral describes it as "partial 18S ribosomal RNA". The record is from RNAcentral. Lineage: Eukaryota; Fungi; Ascomycota.